UUGAACAGUCGUGAGUGAAACAACUCAAAGUAUUAAAAAAAGAAGCAAGAGAAAAAUAUUUUUGUUGUGAGAAAAAGUAUUAAAAUGGUAGUGAAAAAAGACUGUCAGUGAGUCAUCUGCAACGAAAAGCAAAAAAAAAAUCAAAACAAAGUGUAAAAUGUAGCUGCAGUGUUCAGGAUCCAUUUCCUGAGUGAAAUUGGAGAAAAUCCAAAAAAAAAAUUGAAAAUUCGAUGUAGUUGCAAGUGUGGAAACUUCCAACUGAACCGACUCCGGCAAGAGGGUCAAAAGUCGCUCCGAGCAGAAGAAGAAUGGUCAAAAAAGAGGAAACUUCGAAACGUAAGCCUUUGAUGAAUCAUUUCUUUUAAAAAAAUCGCCGUAGACGCCAGCAGCGCAACGUUCGGGGGGAGUCAUCAGAUGACAUCUUCGUCGUUGUUGCCAUAAUUUUCCAACGAGGAAAUCGUUCAAGUUCGUAAGAGAGUUCGUUGUGAAAGUUGUCGAAAGAGAAAAAUACGUUUUGAAACGAUUAGUAGGAAAAAAAAGUCAGGCGUGAGUUAGAGUAGCGUUAAAAAGUUCGCUGAGAGUUGCUGAGGUGUCACCGGAAGUUGCUUCCUAAAAUCUGCCGACUGCCGGGACAACAGAAAAAAACCUUCGUAUUACCCACACUUUGAAAAAUUCGACAAAAAAUGCGAAUGAUAAUUUCUGCGUAUAAAAUUCGUAAGUAAACCGUCAAAAGGUAAAUUUUUUUGCAUACCUCAGCACUUUCCAGUCCAUUGCAUGUCGCAUCUCCGGAUUGCGCCAACUUGUAUUCAGCAUCUUUUGCGCCGCCUACACGAAAAAACAGCGAAAAACCAUUGAAAAAAGUCCGUAAGUGCGUUGAAACCUGCGAAAAUCUUACCCAUAGAUUGAAUUUUCUCGUAAACGAAGCAACGGAAGCGUUCCUCAUUCGAUGUCGCGUGAUGAUGUGUGACAAGUCCCACGAGAUAACGUGCAUUACCGUCCUUCCAAGUUGCUAGACAGGUUAAUUCCUCAACUGAAAAAGCGUGAAAAAUUAGUAAAAACCCAAAAAUUGACGAAAAAUAAAUCUUACCUGUGCUCUCAGUGUCGUGAACAUCGGGACACGCCUGAAAACUCAACAGCAAACGACUAUCUUCAGUGCAACUCUCGAUAUUGCUGACAGGAUUUUUGCAUUCGCCGUGCCCGCGAUUGUAUGUGAAUGUGAAGGGACCUAAAAAGAAGCAAAGAAAAGUGUGAAAAGACUCGAAAGACUCUGAAAAAGUGAAGAAAAGUCCGAAAAUUGAGGUCCAAGUGUCGCAAAAAAGUCACAGAAGUGAAGUGAGCGUCGAAAAGUGUGAAGAAAAAUCAUCUGAAGAGCAAAAAAUUUUAAAAAUAAGAUAAAAUAGUCAAUUUUUUGUAGUUUUUCCUUAACAGAAAUCACCACAAAAAUUUUUUUUCGUUAAAUUUUUACCAUUAAACCGAAUUAAAACCUAUCCUGAGCCAAAUUUCUGUGUGAAAACCAACAAUAUUACCUGAAAUUACUUCAAAAAGUGUACCUUGAAAUUUUUGCCUUAACAAUUAAAGCAAUUUUUUCUUAAAAAAAAAAGUUUUUUUAAAGUCGUCUUUCCCGCGGGGGUUCGAAGCCCCUUGCGGAAGUGUAAAAAAAAAAUAACAUUCCAUUAAAAAAAAAAUAUUAAAAAAAUUAAAAAAAAAAAUAAAAUAAUAUUUGCGUGUGUUUGAGCCAAAAAUAUAAUUUUAAGUCAAAAAAAGUGUCAUAAAAGCAAUUUUUCCUUAAAGAAGGCCUUAUUAGCUUACGUUCGUGUACUUAUGAUUUCAAUUUUUUUUUAAGUGUGGCUAACUUUUAGAGUGAAAUCGUAAAAAAAAGCUAAAAAAAUUAUCCUACAGCUGAAAAAAUACUCAAAUUUCUUUGAAAUUUUGCUUUUUUUGAACCUUAAGUGCAUUUAUUAACUUAUAAAAAGUCAUCAAAGUAUCAAAAGUGGUUGUAAAAUUUAAAUUUUUUAAGACAAUAAUACAAAAGAAGUCGUUAAUUGGUUAAAAACUAAGGAAAUCAGGUACAGGCACUCCUUUUAGGGGGGUGACCUGAGUAAAGGAACCAAAAAAAAAUUUUUUUUAAAGUAGAACUAACAAAAAUUAGUGAUUAGAAGUGUUUUUGCUCAAUUUAGUGGCAUAAAAAUUUAUUCUGAACCAAUUCGCUUAAGACAAUUAAAAUAAAAAACUACCUGGCGCUUCCAUAAGUUAUAAUUUUAAUUCUCUUGCUACCAGAAUUUCAUACGAAUUUCAAACCUCACCCUUCUACGUGAAUUAUUUUCAGCAUUAACGCCUAAUUUUAUGUACAAAUUUACAAAAAAACACCCAAAAAUAGCUUUCUUCAACGAAAAUUAAAAACUUGAUGAAAAAAACUUCAAAUAAAAUUUCGAAAGCCGAGAACAUUAAAUUACGAAAAGAGUCCGAACUUAAAAAAAAUCGACACCCCUCGCGGGGGGUUGUCGCGUCAUCGUCAUCGAUUCUUGGCAAUAAGUCUGAUUAGAAUUAAGAAAAAAAAACUUACCUUUCAGUGGACAUUUCACCGCUUCUGCGUUCUCCUUGAACAUACUGUACAGCAGAGCAUCUCCCGGAAUUUGUUCGCACAAAUAUUGAAGAGUUUCUCGUUGUCUGCAACCGGGACCUAAAUUUAAUUUUAAAGCGGAAGCGGAAAAAAAAUUAAAUAUUAAUAAGAUUUAUUUUUGUUUAUAAAAAAAUAAUUAAAAAAAAAAUUAAAAAAAUCGAAAAAUUAUUAUUAUAAAAAAAAAAAAAAAAAAAAAAUAUUGGAAUGGAAUAGAGUAGAGGGUUAAAUUUUAAUGUUUAAAUGAUUGAUGAAACAUCUACAAAUAACUUUUGAUUUUUUUUUAAAUUAAUUUUUUUCAUUAAUAAUAUUGCUAACCAUCUUUAUUAUUAUUAUUUAAAUUAUUAUUUUGCCAUAAAUUCAUAUUAAAUUUUUUUUUAACAUUUUUUUUUGAAUAACCACCUUUUGCAUAAAUUUUAAGUAUAUUAAGAUUUUUUUAUCACAAAAACACAGACAACCAUUAUACACAUUAUACAACAUAUAUAUUACUUUUAUUAUUAAUACCUUUUUUUAUAUUAUUAUCAUCAUAUAUAUAUUUUUUUAACAUACAUUUUCAAUAAUAAUAAACAUAUAUAAUUUUUUUUUAUUAUUUUUUUAACUUUUUGAAUAAAAACGCACAAAAAUCAUCCACAGCACGCAUUACUAUAAUAAUAUUAACAUAUAUAUAUGAUAUAGCGUCCUUUGUGAGUGCAGCAAAAAAAUAUAUUUAUUACACAAUCAGUGUGACCUUUUCUGCAAGUGACAACAAAAAAACCUUUUAUUCGUAAAUAAAUAAUUAUUAAAAAAAAUAUAUAUAAAAAAGUGUAUGAAAUGUAAUAUUAUCAUAACACAUCGUCUAUCAGAAUUAAAAAUUUUUAAUAUUAAAAAAAUAAUAAUAAAAUAUUGUAAUAUUAUCAAUUAAGAAGUAUGUAGUAUUAACGCAAAAAAAUGGAUGUGUUGAAAACUUUUGUGUCGCGCACUAAAGAGUGUUGAUGUACUGAAUUAUACAACAUAAUUCAACUUCCAAUAAUUUUAUAACUUUUUAGUGUACCGAAAAGUUUUUUUUUUAAAUAUUUUUUUUUUUUAUAAAUUUAUAGUAAUUAUAAUUAUUCCGGUCCUUUAGUCUCAUUAAAUUUUUGUGUUUACGCAGAUUAUUAUCAUCAUCAUUAUUAUUAUUAUUUUAUCCUUUAUUAUAUUUUUAGAUUA
Long non-coding RNA from Culicoides brevitarsis, 3802 nucleotides. RefSeq lists it as uncharacterized. The record is from RefSeq and is a predicted model, not a curated record. Lineage: Eukaryota; Metazoa; Arthropoda; Insecta; Diptera; Ceratopogonidae. The transcript is spliced from 3 exons.